RNAcentral lists this long non-coding RNA (2648 nucleotides) under Pelobates cultripes (western spadefoot toad). Lineage: Eukaryota; Metazoa; Chordata; Amphibia; Anura; Pelobatidae. The record is from RNAcentral.
CAGGUUCCUUCUGUUACUAUAACUGCAUUCUGUCUGCAUGGGAGCCACAGAUAUUGUAGGCCAGAAAUCUGCAGCUUAAUGUCAGAGCUAGAGAAUAGGUCAGAGCUAGACACGGAGUACAAGAGCAGGAUAGAUUUGUUACCAAUCCUUGUAAUAAUCAGAUUGAACAUGAGUGCCCCUAGAGAGACACCACGGAGAGAACUAGAGAGGUGACAAUUGGCAGAACCAACAUGAGGUCAGACAUUCCACAUUCCACAAACCAAGCCAAGUAGGGGAAACCAGGAAACAAUUUAAUCGAGGCCAUCAGUCUAGUAAUCAUCCAUUUACAGGAGUGAAAGUUAUUGUCAACAUAUAAUUCGAAGUAUGUAUGUCCGCAGCAAGAGAGUUAAUGUCGUAUUGCCAGAUUUAGGGGGGAGAAAUCUGUUUUAUCAUCUUUUUGUGACAUUGAUUUUAUCCAAUCCAUUUGUAAAGUAUUGAAAUGUUAGAUGAUCAUCAAAGUCACAGCUGCAGCUUCAGGUGGAAUCUGGUUUCGUAAAAUAGACUUCCUGGCAGCCAGUACAUGUGAACAAAUUUAGUAGGAGAUUUGGAAGUACUGACUAAUAUCGUCCGUGGGUACUUCCACUAACUUGCACAGCUGAUCACUAUACCAAGUGCUAUUACCUAGGCUUGAGUCCCUUUAUCCACCAGCAUUUACAUUAACCCAUUUUUCAAUUUUAUUAACGUUAAGGACCAUGGCUCUCUUUACAUUUCUGUGGUGUAGUGGAGCUCCCUACCUCCGCCAAAGGACAAACCAGGGGACAAACGGCAGCACUUCUGCCCACAGUCACCGUAGCUGGACUGGGGCCCUGGAACUGCUCCUUCCUGGAGCUGAAUGGGGAAUUAUCUCUAGUCCUUACAAGGACUUUCCUCGUUGAAUCUCCUGCAAGCUGGAACAGCAGACACAGGAGCAAAUCCUCUUCCCUCCAAUAACAGGACAACACACAGUUUUGGAGUGUAAACAGGAACAGACUGAGCUGGGGCUUUAUUGUUUAUUUUAUACACACAGGACACACAGGACAUAAAAUAGCAACAGCCAAUCAACAACGUACAGUACAGUCAGACACUCCCAGCAAAUACACACAAACCCUCCCCUCUGCCUGUGAUACAAUUAGCUCAACACAAUAGAUUAACUUAAUUAUCAAGGGCAAAAAAAUAUACUUUUUACACAUUUUCUAUAACUUCGUACAGAUCUGCAAUGUUAAUGUGGUGUUCGAAUAGUUGAACGCCGUUCGACUCAAUUCGAAAUGUGAAUGUCCCAAAAGAAGGUAAAACUUCAGCGGUGUUCGUGCCAUCGAGUAUCCGAUUUUAGUUCCAUGAACUCAACGGCAAGACACCGCUGACCGCAUCGGCUGAAUUAAAAUGGCCGCAGCCACGUGUUCGUUUGUCAAAUGGCGGCCACUUUGACUACUUCAGCACUUCGGCUGCAUCCGAAGUGCCAUUUACAAAGUACAAAUCCUGGAACUAGACAUAUAUGGUAUUAAGUGUCGUUUUAAGCAUCAGGCAUUUCCUGAGUCCAAGUUAGCCAAUUUUAAUAUAGGAUAUCAUUAUAUGACACCUAUAAGCUUGAGCCUUGGAAUCAAGAUAAAUUCUAUCACAAUCCCCUCUUUUGAUCCAAGGGUCAUCCAAAUGUCCAAGGUAUAUCCAGGCCUGCUAGCCAAAGCCUGUGGGACUUUCAUUUAUUGCUUCACCAUCGUUCCCUUGGACUGAGAGACCACCAGAAUCAGCAGAGGAGAGUUCCUUCAUUUGUUAGGUGAGGUAACAUCAUAAAACCCUUCCAAAGUCAGAGCUGGAAUGUAAGUUAAGGUAUGACCAACAGUAGGUUUGUUUUUACAUAGAGAGGUUAGUAGACAUGAGAAAAAUCUAAAGGUUAGAAAAAUGUCCAUAAUGACAAAUACAGCUAAUAGCAAGAAGUACGAAAUUUUCUUAAUUAGUAAAGUCAACUAUUUUCAAUGUCCAAUCCCAAUCCCCAAAGAAGCCAGUAUCCUGUUUGAUAUCCUGUACUAAGCCAUGUAAAAAAAAUGUAUGUUUAUGGAUCAUAGUGCCAUGGUCAGAUAGGUUAAAACAACACAUGUUUCAUUAGUAAGUAUUCAAUGGUUGCUCAUUCUCAAGGAUUGCUUUCUUAUUUGCCUGGGUGUCUGUUACAGAGAUCCCCCUCUGGCUGCUACAGGAUACCUACUUUGAUGUUACAAUAGAUACUUUUUAUUUUUCUAUUUAUAUGAACGAGCUUUCUUUCCCAUUCAUAUGUAUGAACAGCCCACAAUUAACCUCAGUCACCCUCCAGUAACCGAAAGAAUCGUCGAACGAUCGAACACCCUACGUGAGGAGUGUGGCAACACUUAACCUCCCAGAAGUUGCGGUUUGUGGUUAACCGCAGCCUAAUUGACAAUCAUCAGGGUGGUCCCCGUUCAUAUACAAUUGACCAAACGAAGUACCGAACCAGCUCACGAAAGAACUGUCGAACGACGACCACCUAGGCACUGGCGUGUGUCUCCAAUUAAGCUGUGGGUUCUGUGGUUAACCAUUCAUAUGCUGAACACAAGGCUGCGGCAAUCCUUUUGUCGUCGAAUACUCAGCGAGACUUAAGCGUAAAACCCCUGGAACUAUAAUCG